Molecule: ribosomal RNA, 253 nt
Filed under: uncultured bacterium
Lineage: Bacteria
Description: partial 16S ribosomal RNA
Rfam family: Bacterial small subunit ribosomal RNA
Source: RNAcentral
UACGUAGGGGGCAAGCGUUGUCCGGAAUCAUUGGGCGUAAAGAGCGCGUAGGCGGCCCGAUAAGUCCGCUGUGAAAGUCAAGGGCUCAACCCUUGAAUGCCGGUGGAUACUGUCGGGCUAGAGUCCGGAAGAGGCGAGUGGAAUUCCUGGUGUAGCGGUGAAAUGCGCAGAUAUCAGGAGGAACACCGAUGGCGAAGGCAGGUCUCUGGGCAUUAACUGACGCUCAUGCACGAAAGCGUGGGGAGCAAACAGG